Molecule: ribosomal RNA, 438 nt
Filed under: uncultured fungus
Lineage: Eukaryota; Fungi
Description: eukaryotic LSU rRNA
Rfam family: Eukaryotic large subunit ribosomal RNA
Source: RNAcentral
GACCUCAAAUCAGGUAGGACUACCCGCUGAACUUAAGCAUAUCAAUAAGCGGAGGAAAAGAAACUAACAAGGAUUCCCCUAGUAACUGCGAGUGAAGAGGGAAAAGCUCAAAUUUAAAAUCUGUCAGUCUUUGGCUGACCGAGUUGUAAAUUAGAGAAGUGCUAUCUGCGCUGGCCUGGUGCAAAAGCCUCUUGGAAAAGAGCAUCAUAGAGGGUGACAAUCCCGUCUUUGGUACAGAGCUCCAGGGCUUCAUGAUGUGCUCUCAAUGAGUCGAGUUGUUUGGGAAUGCAGCUCUAAAUGGGUGGUAAAUUCCAUCUAAAGCUAAAUAUUGGCGAGAAACCGAUAGCGCACAAGUACCGUGAGGGAAAGAUGAAAAGAACUUUGAAAAGAGAGUUAAACAGUACGUGAAAUUGUUGAAAGGGAAACGCUUGAAGUCAG